Molecule: RNA transcript, 2385 nt
Organism: Olea europaea var. sylvestris
Lineage: Eukaryota; Viridiplantae; Streptophyta; Magnoliopsida; Lamiales; Oleaceae
Exons: 2
Source: RefSeq, a predicted model, not a curated record
AUCUUCAAAUUACUUCACACUCCUCUUCUCUUUGCAAAUGAAACGAGAUCCCCAAAACAAAAAUCAAGGCCAAACCCUAGGUGAACCCGGCAAAUUUUUCCCCAAAAAUUUGACCCACCGCGAUUUGCACACACUUCUUCUUCUCCAGAUAUGGCUGCGGCUUAGCAUUUCUUCCAUAUUCUUACCUCAUCUUGGUAGGGCAGAUAGCAAUGGAGAUAGAAAAAUCACGAGAGAUGAAGUGCAAGAGAGAGAGAGGAACAAAAUGGUAAAACUGCUACGAAAUUGACCAAAUCUUUGAUCGAUCCGUUGAGCAGAAGAAAAAAGAAAUCGCGUGAAUCAUAUAAGAAGUGAAGAAGAAGCAGAAGAAGGGAAAGAAAAGGAUGAUGCCUACCUCAUCAUCGACAAAAGGGCGCUCGGGUUCUCAUGCCCGACCCAAUUCUUUCCUCCCUCAGUACUUCUGCAGAAUAGUCAAGGUUAAUUUUCCUACUCACACGUAUAGAUCUGAUGGUGAUCCUACUUGUAAAAUUUUUCGAAGAUGUCGCACAAUUCGCAUAUCACUGCAUUAAUCAACACGUUUGAACUUAUUCAAUUGGCUAUGAAAGACGAAUUGUGUCUGGAUUAGGAUUUAUGUUGUUUAUUAUUAUUUAUUUUGUAACGAAGGACAAGGUGAAGUGGAUAAAGAAAUGAAUUCCAAAUUCCCAUGUGUUCUUCUAUCUGUUUACAUUUUCUCCUCCUAGUUUUGUUAUUUGAGAUAAUUUGGUACCGGAAUUGUGAUAUUGUUGAAGAAUUGAGCUUGUGGAUGCUGGUGUUGUGGCAAAAUCUAUCUGAAAAAUAUAAAAAUAUUGUGUACACGGACUUGAUUGAUAGAGAAACUAUUAUUCUACUCCACUCCUUAUCAUUAACUAUUUCUAGAAGGUUUGUUUUAGAAUAUUGUACCAAGAGGGAGUGAAGUGAUUUGAGAUUAUUUACUUGUUUUCAAGAAGAAAAUAUGUUCAUCAAGAGAUUAUUUGGAACUGAGUUGACUGAUCGAGGUUGGGCUGAUAUUUUGUAUAUUGAUCACAAUAUUCAAGCUAUUAUUUUCUGUUUUUGUUCUCUUUAUGUUCUUUAUUUUCUCUGUUUCUUAAUUAAAAUAUACAAACACGGUAUCUCUUUUUACCGUGUUGAAUUUAUGAUGUUGAAAUAUUUAUGAAGAUGUAAAGUUUGUUAAUUUGUUUGUAACCAAACAUCAAAAUAGAGUACCAAGUACCUAACCUUAUUUCAUUUAUUUGUUUAUGUAUUCAUUGUUUCUCAUUUGACAUGAAAAAAGGUUUGACUAACAUUAUAGUUCAGAGUAAUUGCAACUAGGAAGAAAGACUAAGAAAAGCAAUCUGAAUCAAAUCUUGAACGUGUGUCAUUUUAGUAAAAUUGCUAACCUGACAUACAAAAGAAGCAAGACAUAUCAGUUGGAAUUGCUGGUAUUUUUUGUCAACUUGGAGGAAAUUCUAUGACCAGUUGGAAUUAAAACCAAAAUGAGAUGGAAAAUAUAUAAUGUUUAUGUAUCCUUGCACUGCCUAUGUCCCUCUAAAGUUCUAGUUCUGAUGAAACUACGAACUUGAGAAUGAAAUUCGAACAACCAUAACUGUAAUAUCUUUUGUGUGCAUGCUUGUGUAUAAUUUAAGGAAUCGGUAAAUUUCAAUGGUAGCAAUCAGAAUUUUAAUUCAAGAAAAGAAUCAAUGAAGAUGAGGUUUAUCAGAAACCGUAUGAUGAUGAUCAAUAAGCCUUCUAUCAAGACAGUUCAGGUAAUUAAUUGCUUAUAUUUGCUUGACUUGAUUAUUUUUGCAUAAAGAAUCUAACUUAACAUUCUUGUUUAAUUUAUAGAAGGGACCAUUCCAAUUAGAAGAACAACAGAGCAAGAUUUUUUGAAGGCUAGUUCUAUACGAAGAUUCGGGAGAAAAAUACGAAGGCCUAUUCAAAGAGAUUCAUUUAGCAAUAGGCAUGAGAUUAGUCUAAUUGAUCGAACAUAGAGAUGAAAAAUGAUUUAUGUAGUCGACCUAACAUUUGGACAUCUAUUUUUGGCUUACAGCAUGCUAUAGGGUAUGUGAGUGGAAAUUAAUAUUAUGGAGCAAAAGCAAGUAUAAAUGUAUGGGUACUUCAAGGAUGAAAUGCUCGACUUCCUCACCAAGAGACGUAUCGACCUCAAGAUUUUAUUAUUGUCAAAAUAACAAAACUAUUUUAUUUGAUGGUGUGGUGUAUCAUCGUCAAAAUUUUAUUCCUAAUUUUGUUUCAUUUUGAAGCUCUUUUUUUUAUUUAUUUAGGUGGUGUUGUAUUACAUUCUAAUGAUCAAGUGUAUGGAUUAAAAAGUUUGUAAUGAAAUUAUCAAUUUUUAUGCAAUUCCAAAAUUUGUCA